Molecule: unclassified non-coding RNA, 361 nt
Filed under: uncultured bacterium
Lineage: Bacteria
Description: contains 16S-23S intergenic spacer region
Source: RNAcentral
UCCCCCGUGAGGGGGCAGUCUCGCCUGACAUAGAAAACAGGCAACGAGGGUUGCGUUCGUUACCCCACUGAAGGGAACAACUCAAGCCACGAACUGACGACGACCAUGCAUCACCUGCCCAGCCGUCUUGCGAAAGCCCAAGUUUCCAAGGGCGGUCGUCUGGGUUUCAAAUCCUGGUGAGGUUCUUCGUUUGCCAUCGAAUUGAGCCGCAUCAUCCACCGCUUGUGCAAGUCCCCGUCUAUUCCUUUGAGUUUUAAUCUUGCGAUCGUACUACCCAGGCGCCUAACUUAACGCGUUAGCUUCGCCUCACAGAGGGUCGAUACUCCGUAAAGCCAGUUAGGAUCGUUUAGGGCGUGGACUA